UAGGAUCCGGAGGUGGUGAGAUGAUUUAU
RNAcentral lists this non-coding RNA (29 nucleotides) under Rattus norvegicus (Norway rat). The record is from RNAcentral. Lineage: Eukaryota; Metazoa; Chordata; Mammalia; Rodentia; Muridae.